CAAUAGCGUAUAUUAAAGUUGUUGCGGUUAAAAAGCUCGUAGUUGGAUAUCUGUUUGGUAUUGAAGUUCUAACCGAUAAAGUUGGAUACGGCAAAACCAAACCUAAAUUACUGGAAUUAUCUUGUUUUUACGAAUAUUUUAGCAUGGAAUAAUAACCUAAGGCUUUGAACAUCUUAUCAACUCUAUGUUCAAAGUAAUGUAUAAUAGAGGUAGUUGGGGGCAUUCGUAUUUAACUGUCAGAGGUGAAAUUCUUGGAUUUGUUAAAGACGAACUAAUGCGAAAGCAUUUGCCAUGGACACUCNCAUUGA
This 308-nucleotide ribosomal RNA is filed under the name uncultured eukaryote. RNAcentral's name for it is "partial 18S ribosomal RNA". It matches the Rfam family "Eukaryotic small subunit ribosomal RNA", at positions 592 to 976 of the family's 1831-position model. The record is from RNAcentral.